AAAUUUUCUCUCUGCAGCACAAAGAUCAAAAUGAGAAGCRGUGCUGCACGAAGGAAGCUCUGAAAGAUCAGAGAUUUACAGCAGGAGCUGGAAGUACAGAGGAAAUUGUUAGAAAAUCCACCCAAGAAAAUAAUUUAGGCGAAUGCAUUUUCUCUGCCGGAAGGCAGCAGGCCAGAGCAGCACUGAGCCGCUGUGUUUCUGAGCUGCGGGAAUUUGCACAAUUAUCAGAUGGGCUAAUCCGAGACCGAGUCGUUUUAUGGAUCACCGAUGGCCAAGUCUAGCGGUGGCACUGCGAGAACUCGGCGACUGUGAAUUCUGGAUGCCUCAAAUAAACAUUUGGCUCUGUCGGCUCUGAAUAGGAGAGUCAAACAUGUAGCUUAAAAACAAACAAACAGUCUGCAUUUACUAUUAAACUAAGUGGCAAAAAAAAGACCUUCAUUAAGAGGAACAGCUGAUACAGGAACUGCAGAAUCACAACUCUCUUCUUGACAAUUAUUUUGCCUGAUAAAAUUAUUAGAAGUGUUUUUAAGUGUUUAGUUAUGAGAAAGCUGUUUACUGAUGCAUUUAUAGGAGCUUACUGAUGUUCUAAUUAUUUGGAAAUACAUUGUAUUAAGGAGUUUUAUAAUUUAUUAUGAUGGACCUAAAAAUGAUAAUAAGAGUAAAAAAAAAGGCUAUGGAAAGCUGAGCUAAGUAGGUUCAUUAGAUCAAGUUACAGUUUGUAAUAGAAGGAAGUCUUGAUAUUCAGAAAAAUGAACCAGUGGUUCAGUUCAUGCUUUGCAAAAAUGUCACAUUAAGGCAGCUAAAUGGUUGGGAUAUUCAUCGCUUGGAAGUGAAUUGCUUCAGAUGAGGAUUCUGGGAUCUGUAAGAUUACU
Molecule: long non-coding RNA, 872 nt
Organism: Nothoprocta perdicaria
Lineage: Eukaryota; Metazoa; Chordata; Aves; Tinamiformes; Tinamidae
Exons: 2
Source: RefSeq, a predicted model, not a curated record